AACGAACGCUGGCGGCAGGCCUAACACAUGCAAGUCGAGCGCCCUUUCGGGGGAGCGGCGGACGGGUGAGUAACGCGUGGGAAUAUGCCCUUCUCUACGGAAUAGCCUCGGGAAACUGAGAGUAAUACCGUAUACGCCCUGUGGGGGAAAGAUUUAUCGGGGAAGGAUUAGCCCGCGUUGGAUUAGGUAGUUGGUGGGGUAAUGGCCUACCAAGCCGACGAUCCAUAGCUGGUUUGAGAGGAUGAUCAGCCACAUUGGGACUGAGACACGGCCCAGACUCCUACGGGAGGCAGCAGUGGGGAAUCUUAGACAAUGGGGGCAACCCUGAUCUAGCCAUGCCGCGUGAGUGAUGAAGGCCUUAGGGUUGUAAAGCUCUUUCAGCUGGGAAGAUAAUGACGGUACCAGCAGAAGAAGCCCCGGCUAACUCCGUG
This 431-nucleotide ribosomal RNA is filed under the name uncultured bacterium. Its description in RNAcentral is "partial 16S ribosomal RNA". It matches the Rfam family "Bacterial small subunit ribosomal RNA", at positions 29 to 507 of the family's 1533-position model. The record is from RNAcentral.